AGGUGAACCUGCGGAAGGAUCAUUACCAAUAUAGCGAACCGAGCGUUAGCGAGGCUUCGCGAUCAAUUGUAUUUAAAACCCAACUCUUUAAAUGUAUAUUAUUAUUGUAUUUUAAAUAAUAAAGAUCACUUUCAACAACGGAUCUCUUGGCUCUCG
Molecule: unclassified non-coding RNA, 156 nt
Filed under: uncultured fungus
Lineage: Eukaryota; Fungi
Description: partial contains 18S rRNA, ITS1 and 5.8S rRNA
Source: RNAcentral